This 519-nucleotide ribosomal RNA is filed under the name Triticum aestivum (bread wheat). RNAcentral describes it as "partial small subunit ribosomal RNA". Lineage: Eukaryota; Viridiplantae; Streptophyta; Magnoliopsida; Poales; Poaceae. The record is from RNAcentral.
AUGUUCAUAGAAGAUUAUUUGCUGCUAAAAUGGUGUAUUCAAGUGGACUGGCCCUCCUUAACAAGGAAUAUGAACACUCGGCCCUUCUCAUUGGAUUUUCCUGGCUCCGCCACUGGCCGCAGCACAGGGCUGCUCCGCCGCAACUUCAGGUUGCACCGCCGCCGCACAAGGUCACGCAAUCGGUGCCAAGGGGCGGGCAAGAUUUUGGCGAUGCUAGGCCUCCUCCUCCAGCAGUGGCUUGAGGACGAGGGUCUGCGGGGGCCAGAGAGUUUGGAGGGGAUGCGCAUGGAGGCCGAGUUCCUCCCCGUGGCCAGUGGUGCGAUGAUGGUUACAAUGCUUAUGGAGGUGGACAGCACCGGGGCUCGUCGUCAUCGGGAGGCGGCCGCGGCUAUGCUUGGUAGGGGGAUGGCUCGGCUGAUCGUCCUUUUACAUACCUCCAGACGACUUCAUGGAAGGGAUGACUGGCCUGGAUUACAGGGCCGUGGAGGUUAUCGGGGCUUCCGUGGCGGCAGGGGGUAG